Peromyscus maniculatus bairdii (prairie deer mouse) is the source of this 110-nucleotide non-coding RNA. Lineage: Eukaryota; Metazoa; Chordata; Mammalia; Rodentia; Cricetidae. The record is from RefSeq and is a predicted model, not a curated record.
GCUCUUCUGAUCUAGACACCUGCCCUGGAAGACGUGAUUGGAUAUACCCACAGGCAUGCCAACAGACUGAUGAUAGAAAGGCAUGGCUUUUAACUUUUCGUUGUCGUGAG